RNAcentral lists this small nucleolar RNA (99 nucleotides) under Cicer arietinum (chickpea). Its description in RNAcentral is "Small nucleolar RNA Z103". It matches the Rfam family "Small nucleolar RNA Z103". Rfam says of the family: This family consists of several snoRNA Z103 sequences which are members of the C/D class of snoRNA which contain the C (UGAUGA) and D (CUGA) box motifs. The record is from Rfam by way of RNAcentral. Lineage: Eukaryota; Viridiplantae; Streptophyta; Magnoliopsida; Fabales; Fabaceae.
AUGGAUGUGAUGAUUAUUUCCCCAGAUGAUCGAAGGUGAACAUACUGUGCGAAUUUUGUUUUCCCUUUGGGGAAAAUCAAGCCAAAUAAUCUGAUCCAU